This 1566-nucleotide long non-coding RNA is filed under the name Pan troglodytes (chimpanzee). Its description in RNAcentral is "long non-coding RNA NONPTRT016281". Lineage: Eukaryota; Metazoa; Chordata; Mammalia; Primates; Hominidae. The record is from RNAcentral.
AAACAAGAGGGCUAGAUAUCACCUUCUGUCAGAACUCAAGAGUUAUGAAUGACCCUCGACAUACCAAUGCUUUCUGACUGAGCUCCCCUGUACCCUGAACACAAGAGACCCUAAUAGAUAGGCAGGAAUGUCAUCACCCCUCUUCAGCCUGAAGAUGUUAUAGAAGACGGAUCUUCAUCCCUCUGCAACCCUAAGGAUUAAGGCUUCUCUUAUAAAAGGGAUGGGGAAAAUGUCAGAUGCAUUUGAACCAGAGCAACUCCAUCUUGAAUAGGGCCUGGGUAAAAUGAAGCUGAGACCUACUGUGCUGCAUUCCCAGAUGGUUACAGCAUUCUAAGUCACAGGAUGAGAUAGGAGGUUGCAAAAGAUACAGGUCAUGAAGACCUUGGGGAUAAAAUAGGUUGCAGUGAAUAAGCCAGGUAAAACUCAUCAAAACCAACAUGCUGACACAAAUAACCUCUGCUUGUCCUCACUGCUACACUCCCACCAGUGCAACGACGUUUACAAAUGCCAUGGCAACAUCAGGAAGUUACCUUAUAUGUUCUAUAAAGGGGAGGCAUAAAUAAUCCACUCCUUGUUUGGCAUAUCAUCAAGAAAUAACCAUACAAAUGGGAAACCAGCAGCCCUCAGGGCUGCUCUGAUUAUGGAGUAGCCAUUCUUUUAUUCCUUUACUUUCCUAAUUAACUUGCUUUCACUUUAUCCUUUGGACUCAUCCUGAAUUCUUUCCUGUGUGUGAUCCAAGAACCCUCUCUUUCGGUCUGGAUCAGGAACCCUUUCCUAUAACAAUUUGCUAAAGUGCCUACUUUGGUUUGUGCAGCUCACAUGGAAUCAAGGUUUAAAGCUGCUGCUGGGGCUACUUGCACUCUUCUUCCUGAUAGGGAAUGUGGACUGAACAAGCUAUCACUGGUGGUAGCAACAGAUACUAUUCUCAGUUCCUCCCAGAAAUUGCAAGCCUGCUGUGGUCACUUUCCUGUGUCCCCUUUCUAAACAUAGCUCCCCCUUAAAAAAGAAAAGAAAAGAAAAGACAUUGUUUCUACUGCCUGUUUCAAAAGACAUUGUUUCUACUGCCUGUUUCAUCAUGGUGCAUAGAAAAUAGGAGUAGGGUAGAGGCUGGUAUAUGAAAUGCCAUCAGCUUUGCUCCUCCCAUUCAGGUGGCCCCAGGUUUUACCCCUGGGGUGGCCAGAGAUUUGGGCAAACAUGAUUCUGGGUGUGUCUGUGAAGGUGUUUCUGGAUGUAAUUAACAUUUUAAUCAGUAAACUGAAUAAAGUAGCCUGCCCUUACUAAUGUGGGUGGGCCUUAUGCAAGCAACUGAAGAUCUAAACAGAAUGCAAAGGCUGAGUAAGAGGGAACUCCUCUGCCUGACUGCUGAGCUGGGACUCAGGUUUUCAGACUCAAAUGGAAAUAUUUGCUCUUCUUGGGCUUCAAGCAUCCAGCUUUCAGACUGGCACUCAGAACACUGGGUUUUCUGGUCCUUAGGCCUUCAGUCUCAGACUGGAACUACACCAUCGGUACUCCUGGGUAUUCCACUUGCUGACGGUAGUUCUUGGGACUUUUCAGCCUUUAUAAUUG